AUGGGAACACAAGCUUUACUCCGCGCCUCAACUGAAACCAAAAGGCAAACAACUGAAACACUACAAGCUUACACACGUGUAGCAGAGUUGAAUCUUGGUAUAAGAUGGCCAUACAAUCAGAGUGUUUCACCCUGCUCCCGUGCCACGGAAGUUGAAAGGAUGGCAAGGCUGUUGUUUAAGAACGUGAGCGCGGAUUCACAGUCUGAAAUGAUUUUUGUGACGGAUGAGGGCUCGCUUGAAUUUGAAAGUGACCCAGCUGCCAUUGCUGUAUAUGAAUCUCGCAGGCUCCUCAGAUUUCCAAGGAACUGCACAUCACAAACAAACACUCAAGUCAAAGCAUGUUUUGUAUGA
Molecule: ribosomal RNA, 351 nt
Filed under: Triticum aestivum (bread wheat)
Lineage: Eukaryota; Viridiplantae; Streptophyta; Magnoliopsida; Poales; Poaceae
Description: partial small subunit ribosomal RNA
Source: RNAcentral